RNAcentral lists this long non-coding RNA (39140 nucleotides) under Sorghum bicolor (sorghum). Its description in RNAcentral is "long non-coding RNA (SBIC_LNC002812)". The stretch from base 19532 to 19638 matches the Rfam family "Plant small nucleolar RNA R71". The record is from RNAcentral. Lineage: Eukaryota; Viridiplantae; Streptophyta; Magnoliopsida; Poales; Poaceae.
CCACUCCUUGUCUACCCCAAGCCUGCAUUCCUAAGUUCUCCUCUUUUUCCGCCGGGUAAGUCUUGUUGAGUACUCCCAUACUCAGGGUUUUAUAACCCCUGUUGCAGGUGCUGACUUAGGCUGCAAAUGGAGGUCGUGUCGGUGGGCGCGACAUGAUUUAUCCACAUCUUCUACCUUAGAAGCUUCACCUAAGUUGCUUCCGCUACUCUACACAUCUUUUGGAAAUUUAGUUGUUUAUAUUCCAUCAUAUGUUGUAAGUUGAGUUAUAAAUCUUCCGCACUCCGAUGUAAGUUCUUUCGUAACAAAUGUUGUAAUGUUGUGGUGACUCCAUGUUGAUCCUGUAUGAGUAAAAAAAAUGUGGAUGAUUUGGGGUCCUCUGAGGGCACCCGACAGACUAUCCGAGUUAUAUGACUCUCAUGUGCAGUAGUUAGAGGUCUUAAGGACAAUGACAGGUGCAUGUGGGCCAUAUAAUUAGGGUGGUUCUGCCACACAACUUCCCCAAGCUUACCUCUUGCUCGUCCCUAAGCAAGGAUGGACUCAAGAGUUUCUGUAGUGGUUUCAUGCCUUAAAGGUACACAUGCGUUCAAACAAGAUCUCAUCUCUGGGUUAGGGUAAACUGUUAAGAUUUAAACUUACUCAUAUUACCUUCCACCAUGGGGCUUGUAACCGUCACUUGUAUCUUGAGUACUUAAAUGAUAGAACGGUCAAGUCAAGCGCCAAGUCUCUUGUUCUUGAUCAACUAUAGCUCUAGAGUUUUUUUGCAGAUUUUCAAAUAAAACACAGUGAUUCCUUUUAUGACUCUCUCUAGUCUCUCUUUUGUGGUAUUUCUAGAUCCUUACCAAGGCAGUAAUGAUAUGUGCCUUCUCUCAAAGUAUGUGGUAUUUUUGGUAUGAGGCAUAGUGACAUUGCCUUUUCUCUCACCCUACUCUAUUAAGGUUUUGAUAUCUGGAGCUCAUAGGUGGGAGACAGCUAAUACAUACUUACAAGACAUUUAUUGCAUAGUCAAACCAUGGAUCCAGAAGAACAACAAAUCAAGAUGUGCAUGUGUGGCGAAUGAAUGGUGUAUGGUGAUGAUGGUGAUAAUGGUGAAAACAAUGGUGAAAGUCUAUUUCUACUUUUGCUCCCUUGAGGGGAUACAUACCUUUCUUGCACUUUGAAGCUUUUUGAGGGGAAUGAGAUGCUCUAUAUUUUCUUUUUAUUUUCUCUCAGGUGGGUAACUUGUACCCCUAAUUCUACUGUCGGACACUUGUCCAUUUUUACCUCCCGUCUCACUUUUUCUUUUUUUCGAGGUUUCGGGCACUUGCCUCUUUUUAUUUCCUCGUAUUCAUAUUUUUUUUCAGAGCACUCAUCCUCCUAGAAUAAUAUAGCAAGUGGUAGUAACCAAGAUAACUCGAGCAUUUAUUUCGCAGGGAAUAACAGGGAUAGGAAAAGGUUUUUGGCUAUUCUCUCCCGGAUAGGAGUAGAAUAAUUUUAGGUGAAUCUGGUGAUGGAAUUGAUGCGUACUUCCGGAGUAGAAGCAGCAUGUAUGAGUGAACGUGCAAGUGAAUCUUGAUUUUAACUAUAUGACAAGCUCCUAAGGGUCUACACAGCUUGACCACACUCAAUGCUCAUAUAUAGUAAAAAAAAUUAAAUAUAUAGUUCAUAGUCUAGCAAGCAUGUACGUAUGGCCGUGGUAGGAAAUCAAACUCUCAUCAUACAGGAACUGAUCAUGGAAUAUUUUAAAGAUUUUCAAAGAUAAAAUUCUCUAGAAUUCUAGCACCUCUAGGAACAGAUAAACAGCAGCUCAAGCUUCCCAUAUCGUAUCCGUUAACGCCUUAGACUUUAAAUCAAGUACUCUUUCCACAAGUUCAGGUUUAGAGCAAAUCUUAAUUCAUAAUAGUCAUGCCUAAACUUGAGAGAGAUUUCAAUUUUGAGAACUAGUCAUGGCAGAGCAACUAUUCAUCAUUUCCAUAUCAGAGCUUAUCAUGAGGGUUCAUAGUAAACUUUAUUUAUUCAUUUAAUUAUCAAACUAAGCAAAGAUAUAUAUAUAUAUAAGCGCAAAAUCUUUAUUUGGGUUUUUAUGAUUAUGCAUCUUUUUAUUAUUUGAGUAAAGUAUAAAUGGGAGUAGAAACACUUAGCUGGAUAAAUUGGGGUGCUCUCCCCCAAGCUAGAUUUUGACGUAAUUUCUUCUGAUAUAGCUAGCAGGUGGCGGAGGUGUAUUUGAAUAUUGGCAGCACCCUAACAGCGAUUAGGAUGUCGUCCGUCUGCUAGUCUUUUUUGAUACUUGAAUUCUGUGGAGCUCAAAUAGACAACAAAGCUUUGUGGAACUUGGUUAGCCGUUAUCAUGUUGAGCUUCCUCUAAUAAACAUUACUCUCUUUGGUAGGAUCAUAAUUUUUUUUUUAUAUUUUCAUUUUUAUAGGACAGGAAUAUAUUUAUUUUAUUUUUAUGCCACCACAGUGAAUGUACUUAUGGGUUUUAUGCCAUGAGCAUACUCACAUGGGGCUUACUAUUUUUAACAUUUUUAUUUUCUUUUCAAGAUAGCAUGAUUAACUAACAAGUCAUUUAAGGAAAGUAAAUAAUUUAAGGGAAAAAGGGAAUGGAGAAAGGAGAAAGGAUAAAUACGGAUAACUACUGAUUUUACCUUUCGGCGAGGGUUCAAUGUUUUAAGUCUUCUGAACAUGACUUCUCACCGUGUUCAUUCUUUAGGUGCGUCAUUUGAUUAGGUGUGGACCUUGACGUCUGCACGUCUUGGUACGGUGUCACCCAUAUUCUUCAUUUGCCCAGCAGUUCGAAGUGUGGCGUUGGUAGCAUCCUGCUCAGUGUGUUUGUGCUCGUAGAUCCAGGUUCUUCAUUUGGUGGAGUCUGGGAGUUGUAAAACUCCUCCAUGUUUUGCUCGAAGUGUACCUACUGAUAGAGACAAGGCAGAGAUCAAGUGCAUGGGCCCUGUUGGUGGAAAACACCAACAGAACCAAAAGUGUAUUUGUUCUUCUAUAACCUUAAGCAUAGUGAGCAAGGCAAAGUUGAUAAGAUCAUGAGUGUAGCAUUUAAAACAUUUGUCAGAUCAGAUGGCUCAACCUAAUGGAAAGAUAAUCUAUCUAUACUUAUGUUUUUUAUAUAUCUUCCAAAGAUUGAGUGUGCAACAUUUUAGCUCAUAUGAUUAGGAGUGUGGGAUCACAAAGGUUGAAGGACUAAACAUGUUGAAUCGAUUGGGUUGGUUAAUCUAGAUUUGUAAAUCAUACAUGUUUGUCUCUUUUAUUCAUGUGAACGCCAGAACCAAGGAGAAGCUUAUAAAAGUGAUAGUCAAGUACCUUAAGAUGUCACAUUACUUGAUGAGUGAUGGUACAGUAUCACCUUGUGGAAGCUUUCCUUUCUUAGCGGUUGUGCAUCGUGUUUGUGGCACCCUCCAUGGAUCAUCUCUUAUGAGCUAUGUUUUCCUUAUGUAAAUUGUUAAACUUCAUGUGUCUGUCUAAAAUGUGAGUUUAUCUCAGGACUUCCCAGGUCGAUAUUGAAAGUUUUCCUACCGGGGUUAGUCCAACAAAAUAUCCCAUAUCUACUAUAGCAUACUAUCAGUUCAAAAAUCAACCUAGACACCAUGUCUAAUUUGAUUUAGGAGGCCAUUUUAACCAAAGCACCAUGCUUAAUUGAAAAUCCCUUGGAAGUAAGAUCAUUAUUCCUAAACUAAGCACCAUGCUUAUUUAAGAGAUAAAUGAAACUACUCCAAACCUAGACAUAUACUAAAGCAAAUAAAGGUAGCAUGAGAGCAUUUAUAGAGAUCUACUAAAGUGGAGAUGAAGUAGUGUGAUUAGUAUUUAAAAAAUUGAGCAUGUCUCAAAGGUUGGGACAACCAACAUAGCAACACGACAAAGGAUGUUUUUAUGUAAAGUACUCCCCCAAGCUUGAAUUUUGCAAAAUUCAAGUUUGGAUGAAUUUAAUUCAAUGUUGUAUGAUGAUUGGUUGGACAUACCUUGUGCUUGUCAUUCAUCCGAUCUUCUUGCUCCAAUCCUGGAAAGGUUAGUGUUGAUAUUUGGGAACGCAAUAAGGAAUUGAUCCGCAAGCGCACAGAUAUCGGUGAGCACUUCACCCGGGAUGUUAUCCAGAGUAUCGUAUUUAUAUUUUUACCACUAGGAGAAAGAGUGCAUGUAACUAACCCAGUCUAUUACUACUAACCUUUAGGCUACAAAGAAUGUUUUUCGAUAUGAGUGAUAUAUAGAGAAGACUGCAACUGUAGUCUCGUUCUAACCUUGGUAAGGAUAAUCUACUAUUCUAUUGGGGAGGCUCACGGAAUCUAGACACCACAGAGGAUGUUCAACCCGCACCUAUAAACCAUAUCCGUCCUGCUAACGAGAUAUGGUCUGCAAAGGUAACUCGGAAAUGUCACGUUCCUCGCUACUACCAUGGUCCAGCUAGUCAGGGAAUAUCUAUGAGUAUCCUAGCCCAAACACCACGUCUACGCUAGAGAUGAUUACUCUAAACUCUACGUGAAGAGAUUAAAGUAAACUCAUAAACCAAAGAACAAUAAAACAAGAACUUACUAGUAUUUAGAAGUCGAAUUACUGAAGAAUCCUAGGAGCAAGCUUCGGGUUAGGAGAACUUGAUCCCGUAGGUACAACCUCAGAGUAGACACUGAUAGGCCGGGAUUUCUCCGAUCUACACCUCCACUCUAUCUCUCUGAAUCUAGUAGAACUUAGAAGAACUAAUUCUACUCACAUUGGAUGCUAAGCCCUAAGUCUAUUUAGAGGAGAGGUUAUCCUUCGAGGGCUCCUCUCAACUCUAUGAUGAAAUUAUGUCUCCUCGAGGGGCCAGGGGGUUUGCUUAUAUAGUCGCCUCAGGUGAACGUGGGCCGUCGGAUCAAACCGACAUUGAUUGAACGGUUAUCCUUAAUCCAUUAGGUCGGUGGAGCGUAAUCCGCGAAGUUGGAUGGGAUUGGCUGGAACUCCAGGGCGGGCGCCCUAGGGGGGAGGCGGGCGCCCUGCCCCCGGGCCUGAUCGCCUUCCCGUUCGUUCCCGUGGCUUCUGGAGUCUUCUAGAUGGUAGAAAAUUGCGCAGUGCAUUAAUAUCUCUAUGUAAUCCCGACAUAUGGGCCUUUCUUCCUUAUUUCCUGAUAAACACCUGUAGAAAUAGAUAAACAACAAAACUCGUGGAAUUCUGUCAGAUCAAACCCUAAUUCUAGGUGUUGUUUGUAUAUUGGUCCUUUCUCUUGUUUAUUUGAUAAUUGAAAUUGAUACUUAAGAACCGUCAACAAAUACACCCAUACUUAGGCUUUUACUCGUCCUCGAGAAAAUUAUGGUUAAGAAAAAUAUCUGGGGUUAAAACAUUGUGAAAGGUCCUAAUAUGGCUAGAGGGGGGUGAAUAGCCUAUUUAAAAAUUCUACAAACUCACUAGAGCAAGAGGUUAGUAAGUAACAAAGCGAAGCUUUUUGCUCUAGUUCUAAUGGGGUGUUUGCAAGCCACCUAUCGAGCAAUUCUAGUUGAUAUAAUCACUAGGCACACAAGAGCUAUGUCACUACUUACACUAGAAAGCUACCUAAAGUUUCUAUACAAGUAAUUAAGCUACUCUAGUUUGCGGAAAUGUAAAAGAGAUGGUUUGAACUUUAUACCGCCGCGUAGAGGGGAUAAACCAAUCAAUAAUAUGAAGUCCAAUCACCGGGAGAAAUCCAAUGAACAAUCACAAUGGAGACACACAAUUUUUCUCAUGAGGUUCACGUGCUUGCCGGCACGCUACGUCCCCGUUGUGUCGACCAACACAUGGUGGUUCGGUGGCUAAGAGGUGUAGCACGAACCUCCUCCUCACUAGGACACCACAAGAACCUACCCACAAGUGAGGUAGCUCAAUGACACGAGCACUUUACUAGAGUUACCUUUCGGCUCUCCGCCGGGGAAGGUACAAGACCCCUCACAAUCACCGGGAGAUGGCCAUGAACAAUCACCAACUCGUGCCAAUCCUCCUCCGCUGCCCCAAGCCGUCUAGGUGGCGGCAACCAUCAAGAGUAACAAGAAAACCGCAGCUAGAACGAUCCCCAAGUGCCACUAGAUGCAAUCACUCAAGCAAAUGCACUUGGAAUCACUCCCAAUCUCACAAAGAUGUAUAAUCUAUGAAGGAGAUGAGUGGGAGGUGUUUGCUUAGGCUCACAAGGAUGUCUAGAAGUCAAGAAUGCCAAGAGAAUGAGCCCCAAGCCGGCCAAACAUGAAUUUAUAGCCCCUCAAACAAAUAGAGCCGUUGGCUCUUUCACUGGGCGAAAUUCGGGGUCGCCGGACGCUCUUAAAGGGGCACCGGACGGUCAACACCUGCGUCCGAUGCUCCAACGUCAGCCGCGUGUUUCAGAGUCUAACGGUAACCUACAGAGCACCGGACGCUGAGCAGGUUGGCACCGGACGCGUCCGGUGCACACCGGACCCGUGCGCAGAGAGCUCCGCAAACUCGCAGGGUCACCAGACGCAAGCCACCGGACGCACCCAGAGCGUCCGGUGCUCACCGGACUCAUACCUAGAGAGGUUUGCAAAAUGCGCGGACACCGGACUCUCAGACACUAGCUGAGCCAGGCAGCCUGCACACCGGACGCUCAGACACAGCGUCCGGUGCCUCUGAGCCAGCGUCCGGUGAGUGUUCCUCAGCGAGAAACACUCCCGCGACUUCUCCAAAUUUCCCACCUGCGCAAUAGAAAAUAUGCACUUCAUUUUCUCGAAAAGCGCCGAAUCCCGCCGAGCUUGCGAGAGAGGAACCCAUUCCCUCUCUACCCUUCAAACUCCACCUCCUUCUCAAAGUGUGCCAACACCACAACAUGUGUACCAACAAGUGCACGUGUGUUAGCAUUUCCACAAUCAUUUUAUUUGAGGAGUUAACUUAGCUCACUAGGUUCUAAAUGCAUGCACAUGAACAAAGACACCUAGUGGCACUUGAUAACCGCUUAGCCAAAGAAUUCCCCUCUUUAUACUACGGCUAUCUAUCCUAAAUGUGAUCACACCCUCUAUGGUGUCUUGAUCACCAAAACCAUAACCCUAAGCAAUACCUUUGCCUUGAUCUCCAUAGGGUUUUGUUUUUCUCUUUCUUCUUUUCAAAGUUGAGCACUUGAUCAUCUUGUGGUCAUCACCUUCAUCACCAUGAUCAUCACUUGCUCCAUCACUUGGCAUGUACCAACCUCAUUAAGUCUACACACACUUAGUAUAGAGGUUAGUACUAGGGUUUCAUGAAUUAUCCAAAACCAAACUAGGGCUUUCAAUCUCCCCCUUUUUGGUAAUUGAUGACAACCCUUUUUACAAAGAUUUUCAAUAAAAUUUUCUUGGAUUCAUGUUGCUUGCCCAAGCAUUUUACCAUGUGCAAAGGUUAUGGACAAGUUUCAUAAACCUAAAUUGGUAGCAAUUGCUCCCCCUACAUAUGUGCUAAGAGUUUGGAUAGAAGGCUUGCACAUAUGCUUGAAUAGGAAAUAUAGGAGUCAAUUUCUACCAAAUGAUGCUAAGGUGUAAAGAAUGGACCUUUGAAGCAUGAUACCAAUCGGAGUUGCCAAUGUAUACCAUCCUUAGCACCAUUAGUGACUAGACAUUCACAAAAACUAGAACACCCUGUGAGAUCAACAUUAUAAACAAGGUUCUAGUACCACUUGUGAAGCAAAUAAAGGUCUAGUUACACUACCUAUGCAUGCUAGUUCUUCAUUUCAUCAAUCAAACCUAUAACUAGCAUACACCACACAAGCAAGACAUUGGAGAGAAAGCUUCUAAAGCUAAUGCAAAUGCAAGCAACCAUAUGUGAGGCACAUACAAAUGCAACAAACAAGUUUAUGAGCUUGCUCCCCCUACUUGUGUGCUUCAAAAUUUUAAUUGAUCCCCUUCUUUUAUUAUGUAACUCCCCAUCUUAAAUCUUUGGGAAAUUUUCUCCCCCUUUGUCAUCAAAGACCACAAAAGGUGAGCUCAAAUUUUAGAUAGGUUAGUGUGAGACCAUGUGAAGUGAGAUCAUUUUCCCAAAUUGGUCCAAUCUAGAUUACUUGCCUAAGAUAUUUAACUCGGUUUCACACCUCCAAAUAAGAGUUAUCUUGUACCAUGUUGAGUUAAACACUUAUAGCUCAUAUUCUAGAUCAAACACUAGGAUUGCAAGCCCACAAACAUGUCAUAUGCUACCACUAGAUCAAGUCAAGCAUAGAAGCAAUAGUGGUACCAUACAAGCAUCAAAAUCAUUUGAUUUUUAUGAAAGAUCCUAAAACAUGGGAGGAAUGACUAGAUGCACUAAACAAGUCCUUAGCAAAGAUGGAUGACAUGUCAAACAAUUUCACCUUGCUUUGCUCGAAGGAGAGGCAUGUCAUAAAGUGGGGGUGCAUCAACACAUAUUUGAGAAGUCAAGUAUGUUCAAUUCAUUCCUUAGCUUGCAAAACCUCUUCUCAUCAAGUGGCUUGGUGAAUAUAUCGGCAAAUUGAUCAUCGGUGCCUAUACUCUCAAUGCAAAUAUCCCCUUUUUGUUGGUGAUCUCUUAUGAAGUGAUGGCGGACAUCUAUAUGCUUUGUUCUUGAGUGUUGAACUAGAUUGUUGGUAAGCUUCACGGCACUUUCAUUGUCACAUAGCAAUGGCACUUCUUUGAAAUUGAUUCCAAAAUCUUUCAAUGUUUCCUUCAUCCAUAGAAUUUGUGCACAACAACUACCGGCCGCAAUGUACUCCACUUCGGCGGUUGAUAGUGCAACACUAUUUUGCUUCUUGGAUGACCAUGAGACAAGUGAUCUUCCCAAUAGUUGACAUGUGCCCGAUGUGCUUCUUCUCUCAACUUUGCAUCCUGCAUAGUCCGAGUCGGAAUAUCCAACAAGUUCAAACUUUGCACCCUUGGGAUACCACAAACCAACAUUUUGUGUAUGCUUCAAGUACCUCAAUAUUCUCUUUAUUGCUUUGAAAUGACUUUCUCUUGGUGAGGCUUGAAAUCUUGCACACAUGCAUACACUAAACAUGACAUCCGGUCUUGAUGCGGUCACAUAGAGUAGGCUUCCAAUCAUAGACCGAUAUAACUUUUGAUCCACCAUAUUUCCACUUGUAUCAUUAUCUAGGCUUCCAUUUGUUCCCAUUGGAGUGCUAAUUGAUUUUGCAUCAUCCAUACCAAACUUCUUGAGCAUGUCUUUUAUGUACUUGCCUUGACUCACAAAUGUCCAUUCUUCAAUUGCUUGAUUUGAAGACCAAGGAAGUAACUAAGUUCUCCAGUCAUUGACAUCUCAAACUCAUUAGCCAUCAUGUUACCAAACUCCUCACAAAAUUCUUGGUUGGUUGAUCCAAAUAUGAUAUCAUCAACAUAGAUUUGCAACACAAACAAGUCCUUGCCAAUCUUCUUGGUGAAGAGAGGGGUGUCAACCUUCCCCAUCUUGAAACCUUUAGAGAGUAAGAAAUCUCUCAAUCUCUCAUACCAUGCUCUAGGUGCUUGCUUCAAACCAUACAAUGCCUUUCUUAGCUUGUAAACAUGGUUGGGUUCCUUGUCAUCUUCAAAACCAGGAGGUUGCUCAACAUAGACUUCUUCAUUGAUAUACCCAUUGAGAAAUGCACUUUUGACAUCCAUUUGGUAUAACUUGAUGUUAUGAGCACAAGCAUAGGCUAACAAGAUCCUAAUUGCUUCCAAUCUUGCAACCGGGGCAUAUGUUUCACCAAAGUCAAGACCUUCAACUUGAGUAUAGCCUUGUGCUACCAAUCUUGCUUUGUUCCUUACAACUAUCCCAUCUUGAUCUUGCUUGUUGCGAAAGACCCAUCUAGUACAAAUAACAUUGUGAUCACUAGGCCUCUCAACUAAAUCCCAUACUUGAUUUCUCUUGAAAUUGUUAAGCUCUUCAUGCAUAGCAUUAACCCAAUCAACAUCUCUCAAUGCUUCAUCAAUCUUCUUUGGCUCAAUGUGAGACACAAAGGAGAAAUGCUCACAAAAUGAUGCUAAUCUUGAUCUAGUUUGAACUUCUCUUUGAAUAUCACCUAUGAUAUGAUCCAAUGGAUGAUCUCUUGCAAUAUUUGUUGGUUGGAGUAUUUGCACUUGAUUGCUUGCACUUGGUUGAUCAUGAGAUGAUGUACUAGCUUGUUGAUCUUGCACUUGAGUACCACUUGUACUAGCUUGAUUUUGAUCAUGAGAACCACUAGCUUUUAUAUUAGAGGUAGGAAGCACUUGAUCUUUGUCAUCUUCAACAUCAAUCACCUCUCUAGGCCUUAAAUCACCAACAUCCAUAUUCUUCAUUGCAUCGGCCAAUUGAGUGCCUUUCACAUCAUCUAGAUUCUCAUCUUCCUCUUGAGAUCCAUUGGUUUCAUCAAAUUCAACAUCAUGCACUUCCUCAAGAGUACCACUAGCCAAAUUCCAAACUCUAUAAGCUUUGCUAGUAGUGGAGUAACCAAGCAAGAAACCUUCAUCACAUUUCUUUUCAAAUUUGCUCAAUCUAGUGCCUUUCUUCAAUAUGUAGCAUUUGCAACCAAAAACCCGAAAGUAUGCAAUAUUGGGCUUUCUUCCAUUCAAGAGCUCAUAUGGAGUCUUCUCCAUCAUUGGGUGACAAUAAAGUUGGUUGCUAUAGUAGCAAGCCGUGUUGAUUGCUUCGGCCCAAAAGGAAUGACUCAUAUUGUAUUCACUCAACAUUGAUCUUGCCAUGUCAAUCAAGGUUCUAUUCUUCCUCUCUACAAGACCAUUUGAUUGUGGAGUGUACUUGGCCGAGAAUUGAUGCCUAAUGCCAAAUUCAUCACAAAGCUCAUCAACUCUUGUAUUCUUAAAUUCACUUCCAUUGUCACUUCUCACUUUCUUGAUGGUUGUUUCAAACUCAUUGUGUAUUCUCUUGACAAAUGAUUUGAAGGUUGCAAAAGCAUCACUCUUGCCACUAAGAAAGAAUACCCAUGUAUAUCUUGUGAAAUCAUCCACUGUCACAAAUCCAUAUUUGUUUCCACCAAUGCUUGUGUAUGUGGUUGGUCCAAAUAAAUCCAUGUGCAACAACUCAAAUGCCUUGCAUGUACUCAUGAUGCUUUUCUUUGGAUGAGUUUUGCCAACUUGUUUUCCGGCUUGACAUGCACUACAAAGCUUAUCUUUCUCAAAUGUGACAUCUUUCAAGCCUCUAACAAGAUCAUGUUUGACUAACUUGUUCAAUUGUUUCAUUCCAACAUGACCAAGCCUUCUAUGCCAUAACCAACCCAUGCUAGAUUUAGUGAGCAAGCAUGUUGAUAAUUGAGCUUCACUAGCAUUGAAAUCAACCAAGUAUAGAUUCUCAUAUCUAAAGCCUUUGAAUAUCAAGUUAGAGCCAUCUACACUUAUGAUCUCUACAUCAUCAACUCCAAAUAUGCAUUUGAAACCAAGAUCACAAAGUUGAGCUACGGAUAGCAAAUUGAAGUUCAAGCUCUCUACUAGUAGCACAUUGGAAAUGCUCAAGUCAUUGGAUAUAGCAAUUUUACCAAGCCCUUUGACCUUCCCUUUGCCAUUAUCACCAAAUGUGAUACUAUCAACACCAUUGUCAUCAUUUGGAUUGAUUGAAUUGAACAUUCUUGAAUCACCGGUCAUGUGUUGUGUGCACCCACUAUCAAGCACCCAAUGCCUUCCUCCGGCUUUAUAGUUUACCUACAAAACAAAUCAAUGUUUCUUAGGUACCCAUACUUGUUUGGUCCUGGGAGGUUAGUGACUAAGCUUUUUGGUACCCAAAUGGCCUUCUUCUUUGGACCCACAAUUGGUGUACUAACAAACUUAGCAUGCACACCCUUCUCACCCUUGGUAAGCACAUAACAAGAAUCAAAAGGAAUGUAAGAUGCAUUAGCAAUUUUCUUGUUUAUUUUAUUGCAAUUAAGCUCUAAGUGCCCAACUUGCUUGCAUUUGUUGCAAUACCGACCAUUGCUCUUCACGAAGCUAGGCUUGUGAGUUGCAAAGGCUUUCUUGCCUUUCUUGGGGGUAUAGCCUAAUCCCUCUUUGUUGAGAGAAAACCUUUGGCUACCCAAGCACUUUAGCAAGCGGGCCUCUCCACCAUAGGCCUUGCCUAGGGUGUGAGUGAGCUCAUCCACCUCUCUCUUGAGAGUCUCAUUCUCAACCUUUAGUGAGGUAUCACAAGUGACACUAACACUAGAAGUAGAGGUAGAGUUGGUGGUGGUGGACGAAGACCUACAUGAAGAGUUAGUGGCAACAACAAUAGGUGGGUUGGGUGAUUCUUUAGUUAAGUCACAUGUUGUGCCCACAUCACAUGAUACAACAACCUUUUCCUUGUUCUCUUCUAAUAACAAGGAGUGAGCCUUUUCAAGCUUGGUGUGAGCCUUGCCAAGCUUUUCAUGGGCUUCCACUAGCCUCUCAUGAUUAGCAUUGAGCUCAUCAAAGGAUUGCUCAAGAGCUUUUAACUUAUUGGCCAAUUCUUUGUACUUCUUGUUUUUAGAUUGAAUAAGUGAAUCGGAUUGUUCUAGCAUGUCCAUGAGUUGUUCAUUAGUGAAUUCAUUUUCAUCAUCACUAUCACUAUCAUGUUCAUUUUCGUUUUCACUUUCACUCUCAUCAUAUUGUACCUUGUGGCCCUUGGCCAUGAAGCAUGAAGGAGUGUCGAACAGUGAUGGCUUGUUGUUGAUAGCAAUGCUAGCAAGUGCCUUCUUCUUGGAUGCUUUGUCAUCAUCACUUGAAUCAUCAUCCGAAGAGGCAUCACUAUUGUUGACACUAGCUAACACCACUUAGAUACUAGGUUGUCAUCCCUAGCAUGGCGCCAGAGUGUACAAAGGUAUUUAUAAAUGUAAAGGCUCUCUAGAAAAUAAUCUAUUCUAUCCGCAAGCGCACAGAUAAAACACCUCAUUGUAACAUUUCACCAGGAUAAGUAUUCCAGGUAUCGUUAUUUAUAAUUUUGCUCUAGGGAUCUGAGGAAGAUGGAAUUAAAUCAAAGGGGGCAAAAUCUAUCAAGGCAUAGACUAGAGAUAAACUUGCAAGAACAUGAUUACUAAUGAGAAACUCGUCACACAGUCACAUACUUUAGCAGGGGGUAAACCAUAAAGAUAUUGAUAAUAAAGUAUAAGUUCAUGGGGUAAAGAGCACAGCGAUUAGAAAAUAGACUACUCCUCAUAUAUGUAGGUGAUGUCGGAUUAGCUAGAGAAUGGAUUCUAAGUUAUCUACUAACUACUAAGUCAUAAUCUACUCUAGUUAUCUACAAGAUCAUAUAUAGCAUAAAAGACUCUUCAUUCAUGUAUAAGGAACAUUGAUAAAGUAAAUCAGAACAUCGCAUGACUUACUCCACAAUACCGGUUCUGCCUGUCCUAUCAACGGAGGGUGGACUAUAUAAGAAUAAACAAAGCUGUCACUAUCGCGAACUACCACACAACUCGGCCAAUAGGAUACAUUUGCAGAUAAAUAACAUCUAAGCACCACGCUCACAUGUGAUCUAUCACCUAACUCCCUCGCGACAAGAGCUAAGCGCUUUGCAAACUUAUACAUAAACUCAUUAUCAAUUAGAACUAUAUCAAAUAUAGAACUAGAGCAAACUAAGAACAUAAUAAUUAGAGACAUAAUGCAAUUAGAACAAUAGAAUUAGAGAAAGAUAUGAAUAAUACCAAUCUUUAUUACCGAAGAUCCGAAUCCAGAACGUAGUGCUGUACUUCUCUAAUUGCUAUCUAAUCAAACCUCUAAACUUGAAGGAUUAGGGAGUAGCUAAUUCUAAUUCUCUGUGGGAGAGAAGCUCUAAACCCUAACUUUGAUGGCUACCUCUGAAUAAUGAUUUCUCCUCUCUCCUCCAGGGGCCAGGGGGUCUGGUUUUAUAGUCCCCUCAAGUGAACGUGAGCCAUUUGAUCAAACCGACAUAGAUUGUAUGGUUUAGAUUGAUCCUUUAGGUCGGUGGAGGAUUGUCCCGAAGCACAGUCCUGAUUGGACUCUCCACCUGGGCGGGCGCCCAAGGGGGGUGGGCGGCCGCCCAGCCCCCGAGCCCGAAUCCCCUCUCGUUCGUUCCCGUGGCUUCUGGAUCCUUCCAGAUCAAGGAAAAUUGCGCGGCACGUAAUUAUCUCGUUGUAAACAUGACAUGUGGGCCUUCUCUCCCUAUUUUCUGAUAAACCCCUACAGAAAUAGAUAAACACCAAAACUCGUGGAAUUCUGUCAAAUAAAACCCUAAUUCUAGAUGUUUGUUUCAUAUUGAUCCUUUUUCAUGUUUAUUUGAUUAUUAAUUUUAGUACUUAAGGACCGUCAACAAACUCCCCCAAGCUUACCCUUUGCUCGUCCCUGAGCAAAUAGCUAAACUCAGACGGAUCAGGAGUUGCUUCGAUGUUUUCUUUCCUGACAGGCACACAUGCUUUUACAUAAAAAUUCUUCCAGAUUAGAGUGAAGUGUUAUGAAGUUUAGUACCUGCACUUAAGUCUUAUCUAAUCGAAAGACAAAAUAGUUAAGUCAAGCACUAUCCCUCCUGUCUAUACUUCACCUUUGUUCUAGAGUUUUUCAUAAGUUUUUAAAAUAAAACUCAGAGUUCCCAGCAAUGAUUCUCUCAAGUCUCUCUAUAUGUAGUAUUUGUGGAUCCUUACCAUAGUGUCACUUGCCUAUAGCUAAUAGAAUAAUUAAGUGGAGCUCAUAGGAGUGCAAACAGCUCAUACAUAUGUUGUCUAAUCGAGCCAUGGAUCCAAAGGAACUCAGCAUAUAAUUAAAUCAAGAUGUGCAUGUGUGAUGGAGUAAAUGAUAGUGAUGGUGAAAAUGCAUAAGUGAUAAUAAAAUUUACUUCUCAUUGCUCCUCAUAUUGCUAUCUCUCCUCUUCUUUGAUCAUUGCUUUGGGAGAACAUGGGCUAUCUUUUUUUUUAGGUGGGUAGUGGAUACCCCUAAUUCUACUGUCGGACACUUGUCCAUUUUUUCCGCUCAAGUGGGCAUCUUUGUACCCCUAAUUCUACUUCGGACACUUGUCCAUUUUUACCUCUCGUCUCACUCUUUUUCUUUUAUCGAGGUUCCGGGCACUUGCCCCUUUUUAUUUCCUCGUAUAUAUAUUUUUUUUUGCAUAACCCAUGCCUCUUCUGCAUUGAAUCUUUUUAGAGAGAGAGAAUAACAAUAUUCGGGACAGUGAGUGAUAAUAUUUUUAGCAAUUUUAAUGAUUGAUAAUGAAUGCUGUGGUAGAUGUGUGCAAGUGAAUAUCUUAAUUUAACCACAUGAAAAGCUCCUAAGGGUCAACACAGCUCGAUCAAACUCAAUGUGAAUAUAGUAAAGAUUUUAUAGCAAGUAUGGCUGUGGUAGGUAGUUUGUUAUGCUAGGAACUCAUCAUGUGAUUUGUAAGUUUUCAAAAAUAAAUCUCUAGAACUUGGUGUAGUAGGAACAAGAUAAACAGUAGCUCAACUUUAUAUCAUGCCUUUCUCUUACCUAGACAUUAGUUUAUGCUUUCCCAAAGAUAGUAAUUUUAGUUUUAGUAAUUCCUGGAAGAAUUCUAAUAUAAAAGCUAGGUAUUUGUAAGUGAGCAAAUAGAGCAACUAUUCAUCAUUUCCAUCAUGUAUAUUUUUGGUCUUUUUAUUUUUCUAGAGAUUAAACUUAGCAGGAAGAUAAAGCACACUUAUCUACACACUCUUUUUAUUUUGUUUUCAUGUUUAUAAAGUGCAGUAAAUUAAAGCAAUAAAAUACUUAUUUGGUUUUCUAAGCUUUUCCUUUUAAGAUAAAUUAAAUACUAAGACAGAAUAGAAUAAAUAAGAAGAGCAAAUAAAAACUUACUUGAUAAAUUUGGGAGGAACUCCCCCAAGCUGGAUGUUGACGUCGGUCUUACCCGAUGUUCCAGAAUCGCAUCAUGGUUGUGAUGUUGUCGUUCAUUGUUGUUGUAUCUUGUCUCAGCUCUUCUACUGUAGCGGCAUGGUCCUGGUUCCAUUUUUGUUGCUCUUCAAGGAGCCUUCCAUGUUCUGCUUGCGUGUUCUGGAUGUUGAGGAGGGUGUUGUCGGUACGAGUGAAGAAAGCACCGGCCUCUUGAUAGUAGUCAUUCGUGAAGGCGUAGGAGGCGUCGGAGUAUCGUCCUGCAUCAAAUUGGGGUGGAGGUCUGGAUCCUGAAGCUCCAUAUGGAUCAGUGGAGUACCUGCCCGUAUGAAAAGGUGGGUUUGUCCACUGGUGAUCUUGGCUCUCCGGCCAUGUCUCCUCUGUUGGCUCUUGUGGUUGUGCAUAUCGAGCCCAUGGGUCUCGAAGGACUCGUGGAUUGUAAUCGCAAUAAUGCAGGUGCGCUGCUUCUUCUGGUCCAGGGUCAGCUCGAUACCAAGUGCGUUCUCGAUGAGUGGUUAUCCUUUCAGAUGCCACUCGCUGUGGAGUUCUCUGGUUCACUGGUGUUGCUCCAAUCUCAAUCAAAAAGUUUUGCACAGUGUAGAGGCCAAGGUUCGGGUUAGGUAACCGAAUCUUGCCUUUAUCAUCAUACAACAUAUACAUUAUGUUCCCCUCUUUCUUUAACAUCCGAGCUUGUCUAAAUGUGUCAUAGCCAUGAUAAAUUCUUAAUUCUUCUAUGAAGUCCAACGAUGAGUUUUCUAGUAAGUGAAGAUUAGUGGCUAGACGAGUGAUAAGUGAAGUACAUCCUACUGGUCCCUGCAGACUAGGUAUACUAAGCCAAUGUGAAACUAAUAAUGUAACAGGUGAAGUGGGUACUUUACUAAUAGCAGGAUAUAAAAGUUGUAAAUCUCCUACUCUUACUUUCCUAAUAUCGUCACGAUAGAAAAGAUUGUACCCAAGCCAUUUGUGAAACAUCCUAAGAGUGGGGUGUUCCAUGUCACUGGUUCGGGCUUGACUGUAAAAAUUAUCUCUAGAUAUUUCUCUCCAAAACUGGUGUCUCUCAAAAUUGGGUAAAUCGGAGUCGAUGUUUAGGAUGCAUCUUGAAGAGAAACCAAGAUGGUCGCUCAGCUCUCUCCAAGACAGCAUAAUUUCCUGUUUAAACAUCCGAAAAACAAUUCCCCCCUCAUAGUAUUGUAAAGUACAAAGAAAUUCGAGGGUGAGAAGACGAGAACCCAGCUCAGUUAUAUUCCAAAAAUUUGUCCAACCCAUCAUUUGAAAAAUUAAGUCAAAUUUAGUGUCCAUACCUGUUUCUCGUAGUAGGAUUGGAUCGAUAGUAGGGGUGUGAAUGAAAUCUUUGUUCUUCAGUUGCUGAUAGACUUCCUUCUCUCUUCGGGUCUUCAGUCCUAGGUCUCCUAUCUUGAGAAGGACCUUGACUUGCUGGCCUGAUGAAGAUGAUGGAGCUUGUGUGGGUGUCGGGUCGACGCUCAUCUCUGAUGGUUGUGAGGAGUGUCGGGAUGAACUCCUUGUACCAAUGUUCUUGAGAGCCUUCCCUGCAUUCUUCACCUUCUUAAACAUCCUGCAAACAAAAGUUGGCAAAAACACAACUGGUGGAAAAUGUGAGAUAAAAUGUUAGUGGUCAGCUGUCCGGAGUGUCAGUAGUCCAGGGGUUAAUCGUUCAAGACAAGUUUCUAUUUUGGUAGAGCCUCCCCCUAAACAACUUUUACUUCCGCUUAGACAGCGGGAUCACUACUUGCUAGGUGAUAAACACUCUCUCAAAAGAACUCCAACUUUCUCGUCCACUCUCCUCUUUGUCUCUACUCUCUUCUCUUCACUACAAAAGCUCCUUCUCAGGAGACUGAGAUUUGUGUGGUUUUCUGAAGUGUUUGUGUGAAGAGAAGGAAAGCUGGAGGUGGCCUUUUAUAAGCUGAGCAGGGGACAGGGCGGGCGCCCAAGGUAGGUGGGCGGGCGCCCACCCCUGGUGUCCAUCCUGGGUGUGCUUCCUCCACUUGCUUCCUUGCUUUGAUCUCACGCAAAAUAAUGUUGUGUUGGUGGUGGUUGGACGGUGGAAAGAUGUCAGGUGAGUGGAAAUAUAUUGGUGGAUGAAAUUAUGUGAUGGGAUGUAUGUGAGGUGAAGUGUAUGACAUGUGGGAUCCAAAGAGUGUGGGUCAUGCUUCUAGAAGAUUAAUAUGAUUAAAUAUAAUGCAGGAAAAUCUAUGAGAAUCGAAACUUAAUGAAAAUGAUAAUGGAAAAUAUUUUUGUGCCUCCACAAUAAUAAAUAUGGGUUGUUACACACCACAAAUAUUAUUUAUAUGGGGCUUUUUGAUUAUUAUAAUAAUGCUAUGACUAAUGCAAGAAUUAAUUAUGCAAGAAUGAGAAAAUUGAUAAUGCGGAUAAAUACCGAUUUACCUCCCGGUGAGGGUUUGGGAUUUUUAGGUCCCCCAAGCUGGACCUCCAAAUCUUUUAAUCUUCUGAGUUACCUUCCUCUGGAGAUGGUGUCUCCAGUGGUUCUUCUUGAACUUCCUUCACUGUAGAGUCUCUCUCUGGUCUGGGUUUGAAUGUGAAGUGUUCUUCUUGACCGUUUAUGUUGAACUUGAUUUCUCCCUUCCCGACAUCAAUGUGGGCAUUAGCAGUGCUCAGAAAUGGCCUUCCAAGGAUGAUGGACACUUUUGAGUCAGGACUCAUGUCCAGUACUACGAAGUCUACUGGCACCAGGAAAUCUCUGAUCUUGACUGGAAUGUUCUCGGCGAUGCCCAACGGGUGUCGAACCGAUUGAUCCGCUAGUUGUAGGCACAUUGAUGUUGGUUCUAAGGUCGCAUGCUCAAGCUUUUUGUAGACUGAUACUGGCAUCACUCUGACACUUGCUCCGAGAUCACAAAGUGUAUUGUUGAAGUGAUGGUUUCCGAUCGAGCAAUCUAUAGUGGGACAUCCGGGAUCUUCCUUCUUCUUUGGUGGCUUAUUGAGGAUGGCCGCACUACAUUCUUCCGUCAGCUUGAUAACCUCAGUGGUGGGCAGUGGUCUCUUCUUGUUAAGAAUAUCUCUGAUGUACUUUGCAUAUGUAGGUACCUGUAUGGCAUUGAGCAGAGGUAUGUUGACAUAUAAUUUCUGAAUGACCUCUACAAACUUACCAAACUGCUCAUCCGACUGCAGUCCUCUGUUUCUUCUGGGAAAUGGCAAAUAGUUGGUGUCGUAAAAAUCUUUCCUCAUUUCUCCAGUUCUUGGUGGUUGGAGCAGAUCUUCUGCUUCAACUGGGCUUUCUUCUUCUAUUACUGCUGGUUGCACUGGUGCUGAUGUUCUUUGUUUCUCUUUUGGGUAUGGUGGAUCUCUGGUAGCUUUACCUCCUCUAGUAGUUAUAUUCUUUACCUGCUCAAUGUUAGUAGCAACAGGCAGUGCAGCAGCUAACUUUUUUAAUUUAAGCUCUACCCUUUUAUUAAGAGUGUUUUGCUCAUCAAAGGCAGUUAGUAGAAAAUCCAUUUUAUUGUGUAUAUCUUUUAGAGAUGAUUCAUUUGUAUCUAGCCUUUGUUUAACUUCAUCAUUAAUUUUGGUUUGUUGAGCAAUUAUCUCUUUUAAUGAAAGUUGCUUGACAGUAUUACCUGAAUUCAUACCUUUGCUAUUGGGUUGACUCGAAGUUGGUUGAUAUUUGUAUGCUGUCUCAAUGGCCCUUUGAUCUUCUUUGAACUUGGCCCUCUGGUCAAUCCAAUGGAGCAAAUUUUCCAUCUUAGUUGAUAAUGCAUUUAUUUCUUCUGGUAUUUCUUCAGUUUGAUGACAAUGUUGAGCUUUAUCUUGGAACCAGCUUUGGUUUUCUGCUAUCUUAUCCAAAAGUAUCUCUGCUUUUCCAGUUGUAAGCUCCAAGAAUGAUCCUUUAGCAGAUGCAUCUAGGCACUCACGAGCCUUCUGGGUUAAUCCAUGGUAGAAGGUCUGCAUAAGUAACCAUGUGGCCAUUCCAUGGUGAGGACAAUCUGAUAUGUAUCCUUGAAAACGCUCCCAUGCUUCUGAAAUGGCUUCUGUCUUCUGCUGUUGGAAACUGACAAUAUUUCCUCUUAAGGCAGUUGUUUUGCCUAUAUUGAAAAACUUUGAUAGAAAGGCAUCUGACAAGUUCGUCCAGUUGUUGAUGUUAUCUUGAUGAGUGUAGAACCAUUUCCUCGCUUUUCCUUCUAAUGAGAAUGGAAAAAGGCGAAGCAGUAUGACGUCUUUGUCAACUCCGUUGAUGUGGAUUGUGCUUCCAAUCUCUAAGAAAUUCUGCAAGUGUGCACUGGCAUCUUCAUGUGCCUUUCCACUGAAUUGUGUAGCUUGUACCAAAUUGAUGAGGCUUGACUUGAGCUCAAACUCAGGUAUUCCUUCUUCUACUGCAAAUCUUGGACCAGUUGGAAUGUUCUCAAGACUUGGAGCAGAGAAUUCUUGCAAGGUCUUUUGUGCCAUAGCUUCAGCAAUUGGUAACUAGCUUCUUCUUCUCUUGAUUGCUUUGGUUUUGAUGAUGAAGAGUUGAAUGUACCCAAAGUCAAUCCUGUUAUACCCUGUAUAAAAAUAUAAACAUAGAAAAACAACAGGGUGAACCUGCCAAAGCAGCGGUGCCUUGUUAUGAUUUCUCACUUAGUAGCUGUUUUAUGCAAUUAUUUCUCUAUAGUCUAGUCUAAAAUUUUAUAUGAAUAACCUUGAUUGAUUUUCUGAGUUUCCUCAAUAUUACUCCUUUGUUCCCCUUUUACGACUUAUUCUUGAGACUCAUAUAAUUCUUAUAAUUCUAACAUGUCUCCGUAACUCCCCGGCAACGGCGCCAGAAAUGCUUGUUGACACUAGCUAACACCACUUAGAUACUAGGUUGUCAUCCCUAGCAUGGCGCCAGAGUGUACAAAGAUAUUUAUAAAUGUAAAGGCUCUCUAGAAAAUAAUCUAUUCUAUCCGCAAGCGCACAGAUAAAACACCUCAUUGUAGCAUUUCACCAGGAUAAGUAUUCCAGGUAUCGUUAUUUAUAAUUUUGCUCUAGGGAUCUGAGGAAGAUGGAAUUAAAUCAAAGGGGGCAAAAUCUAUCAAGGCAUAGACUAGAGAUAAACUUGCAAGAACAUGAUUACUAAUGAGAAACUCGUCACACAGUCACAUACUUUAGCAGGGGGUAAACCAUAAAGAUAAUGAUAAUAAAGUAUAAGUUCAUGGGGUAAAGAGCACAGCGAUUAGAAAAUAGACUACUCCUCAUAUAUGUAGGUGAUGUCGGAUUAGCUAGAGAAUGGAUUCUAAGUUAUCUACUAACUACUAAGUCAUAAUCUACUCUAGUUAUCUACAAGAUCAUAUAUAGCAUAAAAGACUCUUCAUUCAUGUAUAAGGAACAUUGAUAAAGUAAAUCAGAACAUCGCAUGACUUACUCCACAAUACCGGUUCUGCCUGUCCUAUCAACGGAGGGUGGACUAUAUAAGAAGCAACGAAGCUGUCACUAUCGCGAACUACCACACGACUCGGCCAAUAGGAUACAUUUGCAGAUAAAUAACAUCUAAGCACCACGCUCACAUGUGAUCUAUCACCUAACUCCCUCGCGACAAGAGCUAAGCGCUUUGCAAACUUAUACAUAAACUCAUUAUCAAUUAGAACUAUAUCAAAUAUAGAACUAGAGCAAACUAAGAACAUAAUAAUUAGAGACAUAAUGCAAUUAGAACAAUAGAAUUAGAGAAAGAUAUGAAUAAUACCAAUCUUUAUUACCGAAGAUCCGAAUCCAGAGCGUAGUGCUCUACUUCUCUAAUUGCUAUCUAAUCAAACCUCUAAACUUGAAGGAUUAGGGAGUAGCUAAUUCUAAUUCUCUGUGGGAGAGAAGCUCUAAACCCUAACUUUGAUGGCUACCUCUGAAUAAUUAUUUCUCCUCUCUCCUCCAGGGGCCAGGGGGUCUGGUUUUAUAGUCCCCUCAAGUGAACGUGAGCCAUUGGAUCAAACCGACAUAGAUUGUAUGGUUUAGAUUGAUCCUUUAGGUCGGUGGAGGAUUGUCCCGAAGCACAGUCCUGAUUGGACUCUCCACCUGGGCGGGCGCCCAAGGGGGUGGGCGGCCGCCCAGCCCCCGAGCCCGAAUCCCCUCUCGUUCGUUCCCGUGGCUUCUGGAUCCUUCCAGAUCAAGGAAAAUUGCGCGGCACGUAAUUAUCUCGUUGUAAACAUGACAUGUGGGCCUUCUCUCCCUAUUUUCUGAUAAACCCCUGCAGAAAUAGAUAAACACCAAAACUCGUGGAAUUCUGUCAGAUAAAACCCUAAUUCUAGAUGUUUGUUUCAUAUUGAUCCUUUUUCAUGUUUAUUUGAUUAUUAAUUUUAGUACUUAAGGACCGUCCAGAACUAUCCCAUGUCACAACAUAGGAUCCACCCUUCUUCUUCUUCUUAAAGACCAUCUUCUUCUCUUUCUUUUCUUUCUUCUCCUUCUUGUUCUUCUUGUCAUGCUCAUCAUGAUCACUAUUGUAUGGACAAUCCGCCACACUAUGAUCGGGGCUCUUGCACUUGUAGCAUAGCCUCACAUAUUCCUUGUUCUUGGAGUUGUCCCUUCUCUUUCUUGUAUGGUAGCCCUUCUUCUUCAUCAUCUUGCCAAACUUGCGGACAAAGAGUGCUAAUGCUUCAUCAUCACUAUCAUCAUUAGAGCACUCCUCAUCACUUGAUUCUUCUUUCUUGGCCUUGCCCUUGUUCUUGCUCUUGGAUGAAGAGCUAGCUUUGAAUGCUACACUCUUCUUCUUCUUGUCAUCCUCAUCCUUCUUCAUGACCUCAUCAUCAUCAUUGUCAUUAUAUUUAUCUUCGGUCAUGACAUCUCCAAGUACCUCAUUGGGAGAUACACCGGUCAAUCCACCUCUAAAGAUGAUUGUUCUCAAUAUCUUGAACCUCUUGGGCAAGCACAUCAAGAACUUGUGAAUGAAGUCCUCAUCUUUCACUUUCUCGCCAAGGCCCUUGAGAUCAUUGAUGAUGACUUGGAGCCUAUAGAACAUUUCCGGUAUAGACUCAUCAUCCUUCAUCUUGAAGUUGGAUAGCUUGUCCUUGAGCAUAUACAAGUUGGCACUUUUUACCGUUCUAGUGCCCUCAUAUGUUUCUUCUAGCCUAGUCCACACUUCACUUGCUCUCUCAAGAUCUUUGACUUGUUCAAAUACCUUUGAAUCAAUGCCAUUAUAGAUUGUGUUGAGAGCCAUUGUAUUACAUUGCUUGUUUACUCUCUCAUUGUCGGUGGGGUUUGCGGGGUCAAGGAUCACAAAGUCAUUCUCCGUGACUUCCCACACUCUAUCAUUGAUUGAUCCAAGGUACAUCUUCAUUUUUCUCUUCCAAUAGUCAAAGGAACUUGUGCCAUCAAAGAACGGUGGUUUGCCCCCAACAUGGUUGAACACUAUUUGAGCCAUAAUUUGAGCCUUCACAAACGGUGACCACGGCUCUGAUACCACUUGAAAGGUCCUAAUAUGGCUAGAGGGGGGGUGAAUAGCCUAUUUAAAAAUUCUACAAACUGAGCAAGAGGUUAGUAAGUAACAAAGUGAAGCUUUUUGCUCUAGUUCUAAUGGGGUGUUUGCAAGCCACCUAUCGAGCAAUUCUAGUUGAUAUAAUCACUAGGCACACAAGAGCUAUGUCACUACUUACACUAGAAAGCUACCUAAAGUUUCUAUACAAGUAAUUAAGCUACUCUAGUUUGCGGAAAUGUAAAAGAGAUGGUUUGAACUUUAUACCGCCGCGUAGAGGGGAUGAACCAAUCAAUAAUAUGAAGUCCAAUCACCGGGAGAAAUCCAAUGAACAAUCACAAUGGAGACACACAAUUUUUCUCCCGAGGUUCACGUGCUUGCCGGCACGCUACGUCCCCGUUGUGUCGACCAACACAUGGUGGUUCUGUGGCUAAGAGGUGUAGCACGAACCUUCUCCUCACUAGGACACCACAAGAACCUACCCACAAGUGAGGUAGCUCAAUGACACGAGCACUUUACUAGAGUUACCUUUCGGCUCUCAGCUAGGAAAGGUACAAGACCCCUCACAAUCACCGGGAGAUGGCACGAACAAUCACCAACUCAUGCCAAUCCUCCUCCGCUGCUCCGAGCCAUCUAGGUGGCGGCAACCACCAAGAGUAACAAGAAAACCACAGCUAGAACGAUCCCCAAGUGCCACUAGAUGCAAUCACUCAAGCAAAUGCACUUGGAAUCACUCCCAAUCUCACAAAGAUGUAUAAUCUAUGAAGGAGAUGAGUGGGAGGUGUUUGCUUAGGCUCACAAGGAUGUCUAGAAGUCAAGAAUGCCAAGAGAAUGAGCCCCAAGCCGGCCAAACACGAAUUUAUAGCCCCUCAAACAAAUAGAGCCGUUGGCUCUUUCACUGGGCGAAAUACGGGGUCACCGGACGCUCUUAAAGGGGCACCGGAUGGUCAACACCUGCGUCCGAUGCUCCAACAUCAGCCGCGUGUCAGAGUCUAACGGUAACCUGCAGAGCACCGGACGCUGAGCAGGUUGGCACCGGACGCGUCCGGUGCACACCGGACCCAUGCGUAGAGAGCUCCGCAAACUCGCAGGGUCACCAGACGCAAGCCACCGGACGCACACAGAGCGUCCGGUGCUCACCGGACUCAUACCCAGAGAGGUUUGCAAAACGCGCGGACACCAGACUCAGACCACCAGACGCUCCAGCUUGCGUCCGGUGCCUAGCGUCCGGUGCCUAACCCUAGCUGAGCCAGGCAGCCUGCACACCGGACGCUCAGACACAGCGUCCGGUGCCUCUGAGCCAGCGUCCGGUGAGUGUUGCUCAGCGAGAAAAUUAAAAACUUGUCAACUCUUGCUGGCAUAUUGCUUAUUAGAGGGACCAUGGGCUAUCAUUUUCUUCUUUUUUUUUCUCUUUUUUUAGUGGAUACCGAGGUACCCCUAAUUCUACUGCCGGACACUUGUCCAUUUUUUCUGCGAGGUUAUCGAGCACUUGCUCCUUUUUAUUUCCUCGAAAUAUUCAUAUUUUUGCAUAGCCCAUGCCUCUAAUGCAAUAAUACUUCGGAAGAGUGAAUCUUUGUGAAUGAAUGUUUUGAUCUUAGGAGCAUGAUAAAUCUCUCAACAAGGGUCUAACUCAUUUUGAACAAACUCAACACAGAGUAGAUAGCUUUUAUAAUUAUCAUUAUUUUUAGGUUUAGCAUGCAUAUAAAACACUGAGGAUGGUAGCUAGAAUUUUUGAAGAUUUAAAAUAAAUUCUCCAAGCAACAAUGAUAUCAAGAAUAAGGUACUCAUACUCUACCAUAUUUCACACUGCCUUAACUAACAUAGGGUUUUAAAAUGAUUUUCAAUAGUUGCAAGUUUUCACGAAAUAUCACAGAGUAAGAUUAAUCAUGAUUAGAGACAUUUUAAUCUUUUUAAUUUAUCAUGUCGGAGACAAUAUUCUACAUAAUCCAAGAUAUAUGUAUAUGUGUAAAGUGUGCAGAGUAUGUACAUGAAUCGUAGAGUGGUGUAGUCGAAGUGUGUUUGGUAUGUCGAGGGAUCUCCCCCAUACUUGUUUUCUGCUUUCUUGCACAAAAAUAAAGUAGAGACACACAAGACAUAAUAAUAAUAAUAAUAAUAAUAAUAAUAAUAAUCUCUAUUAAUCUUGAGGCAUUUAUUACAAAUGACUAGUAAUGAACUUGAAGCUAAUAAUAGAUCUAAACCAAAUUUAAAGACAAAUAACUAAGAUGCACUGCCUCAAGAUCUAAUCUAGAUAACUUAGCGGCGCUCUAACUACCAGAUCUUCUUAUUGGCACUAGCAAGAUCAUGCCUAGGACCUAGUAUCACGGUGUUGUGGUUAGAGAGCUUCCUAGUGAUAGAGUUAACCGAGGACUGGAGGUCUAUGAUGACCCUAUCUAGCCUACGGACGUCCUCAUCAAUAUCUACUAUAGUCCUGCGACGCUUAGGAGGUUUCUCGAAAGCAUUGCGAGCAUGCUUCGGGGCUGCCUUUGGAGGGAUGCAACGGACUUUGGCUGCUCUGAUCCCCUCAAAGUAAGGCCUCUCUUCCUCCGUAGUGUAGCGGAUGCUGCUGAUCUCGCCGCUCCGGUUGGUCUUGACUCCAACGACCCUCUCAUUGGGUCUGGGUGGUAGGAUCCUAGUGCCGGCUGGCACCUUGAUGGUGGCCUCCUUCUUGGCUGAUGGUCCCUUGAGAAGUAGGGUCUGCGGCGGUGCGGUGAGAACUGGUUGAGCAUGGUAGGAUUGGGUGGAGCUGCGCCGGCGUAAUGGCAUGGCUUCUAGCUGUCGCUCUGUGUUGGCCAGGACGGGAGCGUGGGCGUCAGGGUCUUCCUUGGGCUUCUUGUUGAGGUCGUAGGGAACCACUUCCCAAUCAUCGUGGAACUCUUCGGCCAUUGGAGCAGCGAGGGACUAAUCAAGCUCUAAUUGAAGAAGGAGAGAAGGCUUGAAUAGAUUGGUGUUUGAAAACUGACGUAAGGGGUCUGUUUAUAUAGGGGUCAAAAAGUGCCUCUAGGGUUCUCUCGGGCUACUCCCGCCGCCGUGUGUGCGAAACUUUCCGUCUGAAGGAUUAUUUGGUUUACCAUAAAUGUGUUUACCGUGACGAAGGAGAACGGGACUGAGAGGGGACAGGGGCUGGGCGCCCACCCUUAUCAUCAGGGCGCCCGCCCUGUGUCUGGCCCCUCUGUGGGCCCGCUUCCCCGAGCGUGCUUCUAGAUGCAAAACUUAUUAGCAAAAUAUAUACGUGUCCCUAAAAUGUUAGAUUAAAAAGGUUGGGCUCUAAUUCUCCAUGGGAAGGUAGAAAUGGAUUUUGUCAAUUUCUUCUAAUUCUUUAUUGGGCUCUAAUAAUAAUUUAAGAUGUUGACCAUUUACCUUGAAUAACGUACCUUCGUCAUUUUGAAGUGUGAUAUCUCCAUGGGAUGAUGAAUUGAUUACCUUUAAUGGUCCUUCCCAUUUACUCUGAAGUUUUUCAUGCCCGAAAAGCUUUACCCUGGAAAUAAAAUGUAAUACCUUAUCUCCGGGUGCGAACUCCUUCUUGAUCCUCUUGUCAUGCCACCUUUUGACUCUUUCUUUGUAGAUCUUCGAGUUGUGAUAUGCUUUCUCUCCCCAUUCUUCCAAUUCUAAUAAUUGCAUUUGUCUAUGAUCUCCAGCGACAUCUAGGUCCAUAUUCCAUCUCCUUAUGGCCCAGUGUGCUUUGAAUUCUAGUUCAACAGGUAGGUGGCAAGUCUUCCCGUACACCAAUUGGUAUGGGGACAUUCCAAUUGGGGUCUUGUACGCUAUCUGGUAUGCCCAGAGUGCAUCAGCUAACUUGUCUUUCCAUGUUGUUCCCAUCUCAUUGACUGUCUUCUGAAGAAUGUUCUUGAUUUGCUUGUUGGAAGUCUCUGCUUGGCCACUUGUCUGAGGAUGGUAGGGCGUAGCGACGUUGCGACAGAUUCCAUGUCUUGAUAGAUAUUGCUUGAAGCGUUUGUCAUAGAAGUGUGCUCCUUCAUCACUUAUCACUACUCUCGGAACUCCAAAUCUUGGAAAUAUAACUUCUUCAAACAUCCUCUUUGAACUGAUGUUGUCGGCGUGUUUGCAAGGUAGUGCCUCUAUCCACUUGGAGACAUAGUCAAGUGCCACCAAGAUGUACUCACACUUCUUUGAUGGGGGAAAUGGACCCAUAUAUUCUAUUCCCCAGACAUCAAAGAGCUCAAUCUGAAGGUUGUUGGUGAGUGGCAUGGCAUCCCUUGUAUUUAUGUUUCCCUGCCUUUGACAUGGCCCACAUCUUCUAAUAUAUUGCUUCGUGUCUUCAUACAUUGUAGGCCAGUAGAAUCCACACUGCCAGAUCUUUGAAUGUGUACGGAAUGCUCCAUAAUGACCUCCAUAUGGUGAUGAAUGAUACCUGUCGAUGAUCUUCCAUCCUUCCUCGGUGGUCACACAUUUUCUGAGUAAGCCAUCAGAGCAUACUCGGAAGAGGUAUGGCUCAUCCCAUAUAUGUGAACGACUUUGUUGAAUAAGCUUCUUCUUGUUCACUCCUGGUGGUACAUACCCUGAAACCAUAAAAUUAACAAUAUCUGCAUACCAGGGGUCAGACCUGUUAAUCCCAUAGAGCAUGUCGUCCCAGAGUGAAUCAUUGAUGGGGGUUUCCUGUGGAUUCUUAAAAUACAUUCUAGACAAGUGAUCAGCAACAGAUUUUUCUACUCCCUUUUAUCUUUUAUUUCUAUGUCAAAUUCUUGAAGUAAUAAUAUCCAUCUAAUCAGGCGAGGUUUAGCAUCUUUUUUAGUGAGCAGAUAUUUUAGUGCAGCAUGAUCAGUGUAAACAAUUAUUUUAGCUCCAACUAAAUAAGAUCUAAAUUUAUCAAUGGCAAAGACAACAGCCAGAAGCUCUUUUUCAGUGGUUGCAUAAUUAAGUUGAGCUCCUGUCAAAUUUUUACAGGCAUAAGCAAUUGCAUGAUGCCUCUUAUUUUUAGUUUGUCCCAAAACUGCCCCCACAGCAUAAUCACUAGCAUCACACAUAAUUUCAAAAGGCAACGACCAAUCAGGGGGUUGAAUGAUUGGUGUAGAGAUGAGUGCAUUCUUUAAUAAAUUGAAAGAUGUUAGGCAUGCAUCAUCAAAUUCGAAAGGAGCAUCCUUGGCUAGCAAAAGAGUAAGUGGUCUAGCAAUAAAUGAAAAAUCUUUUUAUGAAUCUAAGAUAAAAACCAGCAUGGCCAAGAAAGCUUCGAAUUCCUUUUAUGUUCACAGGUGGAGGUAGUUGUUCAAUUACUUCAAUUUUAGCUUUGUCUACCUCAAUACCUCUUUCAGACACUAGGUGUCCUAGCACUAUUCCUUCCCUAACCAUAAAAUGACAUUUUUCCCAAUUAAGGACUAAGUGCUUUUCUUCACAUCUUUGCAAAACCUUGUCUAAGUUUUCAAGACAACUAUCAAAAGGUUUUCCAUAAACAGAGAAAUCAUCCAUGAAAACUUCCAUAAUCUCUUCAAUCAUAUCAGAAAAUAUAGACAUCAUGCAUCUUUGAAAAGAAGCUGGUGCAUUACAUAACCCAAAAGAUAUUCUACGGUAAGCAUAAGUUCCAUAUGGGCAUGUAAAAGUGGUAUUGCUUUGAUCAUCGGGAUGGAUCGGGAUCUGGUGAUACCCUGAAUAUCCAUCUAAGAAACAGAAGAACGAAUGGUUCGCUAAUCGCUCUAGCAUAUCAUCUAUGAAAGGUAAAGGAAAAUGAUCCUUUCUCGUGGCUUUGUUUAGUUUUAUAUAGUCUAUGCACAUCCGCCACCCUGUGACGGUGCGUUGUGGAAUUAGGUCGUUCUUUUCACUCAUAACAAGAGUCAUGGCUCCCUUUUUAGGCACAACUUGCACUGGGCUCACACACUCACUGUGAGCACAUGAUAUAUAAUCCCUACAUGCAGCAACUUUAUAACUUCCUUUUUAACUACCUCUCUCAUCGCGUUGUUAAGUCUACGUUGGGGCUCUCGAGAAGGUGAAACAAAAGGAUCUGUCGGAAUGCGAUGGGUACAGAUCAUAGGACUGAUUCCUGUAUGAUCUUGGAGUGAGUAGCCGAAAACUGAGUGAUGUUUCUCAUGAAUGGUCAUUAAUUGCAAAGUUUGCUCCUGAGUGAGUUUAUCACUAAUAAUCACAGGAAACUCUGGAUUAUUGUUUAGGAAAGCAUAGAUAAGAUCGGGUGGUAAAGUUUUAAGCUCUAUGGGAGGUCUAGGCGUUUCCGCAAACUCGUCUAAGGGUUCAGGUUUAGAAGGUUUGGCUUCUUCUUCUAUGAAGAAAGGAGCUUCGUCUUCUAAGUCUGGUUCUUCUAAAAGCUCUUGAGAUGCAGCCUUUACCUCCUCCAUAGGAUCAGGCAAAAGAUAUGACUCAGCCUUAUUAUUUAAGGAGUGUGAAAUUGUUAUUGGGAAUUUAAAAGUUUUUCCAAAAGAAAUGUGUAGCUUUCCAGUAUGACCUUUAUAAAGGAGUCUUCUAAAAGGUUGUCCUAUCAACAGGUCGAAGUCCCAUGUAUCAAAGAUAUAAAAGUUCAAAUGAACCAUGAAGCCUUCUACCAAUAAGGGUAGGACUUUAAUAAUUCCAAGACUGGGGACUAAUCGUCCCGAAGAUUCCUUUAUGACCUUUGUUGUGGGGGUUAAGGCCAAAUUUUUAAAUAGUUUAAGUGCAAAAGAUUCAGACAUGAUGUUGAUCCCCACAACAGGAUUAUAGAGAGCAUCAAAGUGAUCAGAAUCAUAAGCACAGUGUAUAGUUAUAGGAGGUAUGUCCAAACGGAUCACAUUAGAGGAAAGCUCUGACUCUUCCAACCAUUCACUACUCAUGACUGAGAUAAGCUCUCUCAAUUGAUGUUCAGAUGGCAAACAAAUGCUAAAAUGGCCGUUUCGGGAUCUGUUAAUAGAAUGGUAGCUUGAUAUGUUCCCAAAAUCGGCAAAAAGAUUAGAUUCUAUAUCCAGCAUGAAAUCAGGUGGUGGAAUUUCUUCCUUUUGUGGCUCAGAACUUGAGAUAGCUAAAGUAGAUAACAAAUUUGGCAGAGUGUCUACUUCGGCUUCAUGGGUUUCAUCAUGAAGGGUAUUAUCCAUCUCAGCUUCUAGGAUUCUAUCCAGGAUCACUCUAGCAUCAUUAGUAGGGAUACGAAAGAAAGAACCUCUAGACAUUGUAUGUAGCAUUUGUUUGUGAUCUUUUUGAAGACCUCAAAAAAAGUGAAAUAAAAGAACAGGGUCUUCAAGAUUAAGGUUUGGACCAGAUUCUAAAAGAUCAGAAAAACAUUUCCAGGAUUUUCCCAAAGUUUCAUUAUCUUUUUGUUUAAAAGAUAGAACUUCGAGUCUAAGGUCGCCGAUACGGUCGAGGGAAUAAAAAUCUAGACAAAAGUUGGCUCGUAAAACUCCCCAUUCACCUCGUUGUUGACCUACCUUCUCAUUAUACCAUUGUCUAGCUUCUCCCCUUAAAGAAAAAGGAAAAAGCUUCCAACGUAAAGUUUUAUCAAAAAUGCCUUCAAUGUGAAGACAAUCACAUGUUUGCUGAAAAUCUCUAAUAUGAAGAAGGGUUUUUGUCUUCCUUUCCUGAAAAAGAUAGGUUUUGAAUCAUGGCAAUUAACCUAGAACUUAACCUAUACUGGGAUGUUUGGAUAGGCUGUGAUGACUCCCAUGGUAAAAGGUCAGUCUCCGAAGGUGUUGCAAAUUGAUAGAUUGAUUUAGAAUCUUGGUUUUCCAUAAGGUAAGAACAAAGAAAAUAAAUAAAGAUUAUAAAAGAUAAAAGUAUAGAUACAAGCUAAUAGUAAGACUCAAGGUUAUCUCAGCAAACCGUCUUUCUCCAUGGCAACGGCGCCAGAAAUGCUUGUUGAUAUUUGGGAACGCAAUAAGGAAUUGAUCCGCAAGCGCACAGAUAUCGGUGACCACUUCACUCGGGAUGUUAUCCAGAGUAUCGUAUUUAUAUUUUUACCACUAGGAGAAAGAGUGCAUCUGACUAACCCAGUAUAUUACUACUAACCUUUAAGCCACAAAGAAUGUUUUUCAAUUUGAGUGAUAUAUAGAGAAGACUGCAACUGUAGUCUUGUUCUAACCUUGGUAAGGAUAAUCUACUAUUCUAUUGGGGAGGCUCACGGAAUGUAGACACCACAGAGGAUGUUCAACCCGCACCUAUAAACCCUAUCCAUCCUGCUAACGAGAUAUAGUCUGCAAAGGUAACUCGGAAAUAUCACGUUCCUCGCUACUACCACGGUCCAGCUAGUCAGGGAAUAUCUAUGAGUAUCCUAGCCCAAACACCACAUCUACGCUAGAGAUGAUUACUCUAAACUCUACGCGAAGAAAUUAAAUUAAACUCAUAAACCAAAGAACAAUAAAAUAAGAACUUACUAGUAUUUAGAAGUCAAAUUACUGAAGAAUCCUAGGAGCAAGCUUCGGGUUAGGAGAACUUGAUCCCGCACGUACAACCUCGGAGUAGACACCGACACGCCGGGCUUCCUCCGAUCUACACCUCCACUCUAUCUCGCUCAAUCUAGUAGAACAUAGUGUUGACGGUUCUUAAGUAUUAAUUUUAAUUAUCAAAUAAACAAGAGAAAGGACCAAUAUGCAAACAACACCUAGAAUUAGGGUUUGAUCUAACACACUUCCACGAGUUUUGUUGUUUAUCUGUUUCUGCAGGGGGUUAUCAGGAAAUAAGGAAGAAAGGGCCACAUGUCGGGAUUACAUAGAGGUAUCAACACACCGCGCAAUUUUCUACCAUCUAGAAGACUCCAGAAGCCACAGGAAGGAUGUGGAGGCCGAACGGGGCCAGGCACUGGGCGCCCGCCCAGUUGACCUGGGCGCCCGCCCCCUCCUGGAGUUGGAUCAGGACUCUUUUCGUGGACGAUGUUCCACCGACCUAAAGGAUCAAGGAUAACUGUCUAAUCAAUGUCGGUUUGAUCCAAUGGCUCACAUUCACUUGAGGGGACUAUAAAACCAGACCCCCUGACCCCUGGAGGAGACAAGUUUAUCAUAGAGUUGAGAGGAACCCUCGAAGGAAUACCUCUCCUCUAAAUAAAAUUUCUUUUUAGGCUUAGCAACCAAUGUGAGUAGAAAUAGAUCUUCUAGUUUCUACUAGAUUGAGAGAGAUAGAGUGGAGGUGUAGAUCAGAGGAAGCCCAGCCUGUCGGUGUCUACUCCAAGUUUGUACCUGCGGGAUCAAGUUCUCCUAACACGAAGCUUGCUCCUAGGAUUCUUCAGCAUUUCGACUUCUAAAUUCUAGUAAGUUCUUGUUUUAUUGUUCUUUUGGUUUAUGAGUUUACUUUAAUCUCUUCGCGUAGAGUUUAGAGUAAUCAUCUCUAGCGUAGACGUGGUGUUUAGGCUAGGAUACUCAUAGAUAUUCCCUGACUAGCUGGACCGUGGUAGUAGCGAGGAACGUGACAUUUCCGAGUUACCUUUGUAGACCAUAUCUCGUUAGCAUGAUGGAUAGGGUUUAUAGGUGCGGGUUGAACAUCCUCUGUGGUGUCUAGAUUCCGUUAGGCUCCCCAAUAGAACAGUAGAUCAUCCUUACCAAGGUUAGAAAGAGAUUACGGUUGCAGUUUUCUCUAUUUAUCACUCACAUCGAGAAACAUUCUUUGUUGCCUAAAGGGUUAGUAGUAAUAGACCGUAUUAUUCAGAUGCACUUUUUCUCCUAGUGGUAAAAAAUAAAUACGAUACUUUGGAUAACCUCCUGGGUGAAGUGCUCACCGAUAUCCAUGCGCUUGUGGAUCAAUUCCUUAUUGCGUUCCCAAAUAUCAAUAAGCAUUUCUGGCGCCGUUGCCGGGGAGAAAGACGGUUUGCUGAGAUAACCUUGAGUCUUACUACUAGCUUGUAUCUAUACUUUUAUCUUUUCUUAUCUUUUAUCUAUCUUCUUUACACUUACCUUAUGGAAAACCAAGAUUCUAAAUCAAUCUACCAAUUUGCAACACCUUCGGAAACUAACCUUUUACCAUGGGAGUCAUCAGAGCCUAUCCAAACAUCCAAGUAUAGGUUAAGUUCUAGGUUGAUUGCCAUGAUUCAAAACCUAUCUUUUUUGGGAAAGGAAGACGAAAACCCUUACCUUCAUAUUAGAGAUUUUGAGCAAACAUGUGAUUGUCUUCGCAUUGAAGGCAUUUCUGAUAAGACUUUACGUUGGAAGGUUUUUCCUUUUUCUUUAAGGGGAGAAGCUAGACAAUGGUACAGUCAGAAGGUAAGUUAACAACAAGGUGAAUGGGGAGUUUUACGAGCCAACUUUUGUCUAGACUUUUAUUCCCUCGACCGUAUCGGCGACCUUAGACUCGAAGUCCUAUCUUUUAAACAAAAAGAUAAUGAAACUUUGGGAAAAUCCUAGAAACGUUUUUCUGAUCUUUUAGAAUCUGGUCCAAACCUUAAUCUUGAAGAACCUGUUCUUUUAUUUCACCUUUUUCGUGGUCUUCGGGAAGAUCAUAAACAAAUGCUACAUACAAUGUCUAGAGGUUCUUUCUUUCACAUCCCUACUGAUGAUGCUAGAGUGAUCCUAGAUACAAUCCUAGAAGCUGAGAUGGAUAAUACCUUUCAUGAUGAAACCCACGAAGCCGAAGUAGACACUCUGCCAAAUUCUUCAUCUACUUUAGCUAUCCCAAGUUCUGAGCCACAAAAGGAAGAAAUUCCACCACCGGAUUUCAUGCUGGAUAUAGAAUCUGAUCUUUUUGCCGAUUUUGGAAACAUUUCAAACUACCAUUCUAUUGACAAACCCCAAAACGGCCAGUUUAGCAUUUGUUUACCAAGUGAAUAUCAAUUGAGAGAGCUUAUCUCAGUCAUGAGUAGCGAGUGGUUGGAGGAAUCAAAGCUUUCCUCUGAUGUGAUACGUUUGGACACACCCUCUACAACUAUACGCUGUGCUUAUGAUUCUGAUCGAUUUGAUGCUCUGUAUAAUCCUGUUGUAGGGAUCAACAUUAUGUCUAAAUCUUUUGCACUUAAAUUAUUUAAAAAUCUUGUUUUAACCCCCACAACAAAGGUCAUAAAGGAAUCUUCGGGACGAUUAGUCCCUAGUCUUGGAAUUAUUAAUGUCCUACCUCCUACGGUGGAAGGCUCCAUGGUUCAUUUGAACUUCUAUAUCUUUGAUACAUGGGACUUCAACCUGUUGAUAGGACAACCUUUUAGAAGACUCCUUUAUGAAGGUCAUACUAGAAAGUUACAUAUUUCUUUUGGAAAAACUUUUAAAUUCCCCAUAACAAUUUCACACUCCUUAAAUAAUAAGGCCGAGUCAUAUCUUUUGCCUGAUCCUAUGGAGGAGGUAAAGGCUGCAUCUCUAGAGCUUUUAGAUGAACUAGACUUAGAACAAGAAACUCCUUGCUUCAUAGAAGAAGAAGCUGAACCUUCUGAACCUGAACCCUUAGAUGAGUUUGCAGAAACACCUAGACCUCCCAUAGAGCUAAAAACUUUACCACCCGGUCUUAUCUAUGCUUUCCUAAACAAUAAUCCAGAGUUUCCUAUGAUCAUUAGUAAUAAACUCAAUCAGGAGCAAACUCUGCGAUUAAUGACCAUUCUUGAGAAACAUCACUCAGUUUUCGGCUACUCACUCCAAGAUCUUACAGGAAUCACUCCUAUGAUUUGUACCCAUCGUAUUCCAACAGAUCCUUCUGUUUCACCUUCUCGAGAACCCCAACGUAGACUUAACAACACUGUGAGAGAGGUAGUUAAAAAGGAAGUUAUAAAGUUGCUGCAUGCAGGGAUUAUAUAUCCUGUGCCGCAUAGUGAGUGGGUGAGCCCAGUUCAAGUCGUGCCUAAAAAGGGAGGCAUGAAUGUUAUUUUGAAUGAAAAGAACGAGCUAAUUCUGCAACGCACCGUCACAGGAUGGCGGAUGUGCAUAGACUAUAGAAAACUAAACAAAGCCACAAGAAAGGAUCAUUUUCCUUUACCUUUCAUAGAUGAGAUGCUAGAGUGAUUAGCGAACCAUUCGUUCUUCUGUUUCUUAGAUGGAUAUUCAAGGUAUCAUCAGAUCCCGAUCCAUCCUGAUGAUCAAAGCAAAACCACUUUUACAUGCCCAUAUGGAACUUAUGCUUACCGUAGAAUGUCUUUUGGAUUAUGUAAUGCACCAGCUUCUUUUCAAAGAUGCAUGAUGUCUAUAUUUUCUGAUAUGAUUGAAGAGAUUAUGGAAGUUUUCAUGGAUGAUUUCUCUAUUUAUGGAAAAACUUUUGAAAGUUGUCUUGAAAACUUAGACAAGGUUUUGCAAAGAUGUGAAGAAAAGCACUUAGUCCUUAAUUGGGAAAAUGUCAUUUUAUGGUUAGAGAAGGAAUAGUGUUGGGACACCUAGUAUCUGAAAGAGGUAUUGAGGUAGACAAAGCUAAAAUUGAAGUAAUUGAACAACUACCUCCACUUGUGAAUAUAAAAGGAAUUUGAAGCUUUCUUGGCCAUGCUGGUUUUUACCGUAGAUUCAUAAAAGAUUUUUCAUUCAUUGCUAGACCACUUACUCUUUUGCUAGCCAAGGAUGCUCCUUUCGAAUUUGAUGAUGCAUGUCUAACAUCUUUCAAUUUAUUAAAGAAAGCACUCAUCUCUGCACCAAUCAUUCAACCCCCUAAUUGGUCGUUGCCUUUUGAAAUUAUGUGUGAUGCUAGUGAUUAUGCUGUGGGGGCAGUAUUGGGACAAACUAAAGAUGAGAAACAUCAUGCAAUUGCUUAUGCCAGUAAAACUUUGAUACGAGCUCAACUUAAUUAUGCAACCACUGAAAAAGUGCUUCUGGCUGUUGUCUUUGCCAUUGAUAAAUUUAGAUCUUAUUUAGUUGGAGCUAAAAUAAUUGUUUACACUGAUCAUGCUGCACUAAAAUAUUUGCUCACUAAAAAAGAUGCUAAACCUCGCCUGAUUAGAUGGAUCUUAUUACUUCAAGAAUUUGACUUAGAAAUAAAAGAUAAAAAGGGAAUAGAAAAUUCUGUUGCUGAUCACUUGUCUUGAAUGUAUUUUAAGAGUCCACAGGAAACCCCCAUCAAUGAUUCACUCCGGGACGACAUGCUCUACGGGAUUAACAGGUCUGACCCCUGGUAUAUAGAUAUUAUUAAUUUUAUGGUUUCAGGGUAUGUACCGCCAGGAGCAAACAAGAAGAAGCUUAUUCAUGAAAGUCGUUCACAUAUAUGGGAUGAGCCAUACCUCUUCCGAGUAUGCUCUGAUGGCUUACUCAGGAGAUGUGUGACUGCUGGGUAUUCAUAACAUCAUUACCAAAAGUAGACUUAGUUUUCUAAUUCUAGUAAUGGUGCCAAAAAUGCCAAACCUAUCCCUCAUACCACUUAAGCCAAGUUGUCAUCCCCAGCAUGACAUGAGAGACGCGGUAUUGAAAUAUGCAAUUGCUCUUCUAAAUAAAUAAUGAAUGGGAUCUCCAAGCGCACAGAUUAAUACCGAUGUAGCAUUUUAACCGGGAAGUAUUCCAGAUAUCGUUAUUUAUAUUUCUACCACUGGGAAGGGAUUAGCAAUCAUCAAUGCUGAUUAUUGAAUAGAAUAUGAGAUUGAGUAUCUAUCAUUGCAUGUAUAAUUGAGAACAUUGUAUCUAAUUCUUUCAUAUAGGGAUAAGUGUCACAUAAAAGAUAUAUGAAGUAAUGAAUAGUGACAAAGAUAAUUAAUCUGAUCAACAUAACUUAGCCACAUAAUAAAUAUGAUAAGCACCUCAAUUAGAUACUCUAGAAAGUCAUUAGCAUGGAAUUAGAACGAACUACAAGAAUAUUUCCUAAGUUAUUCUCAACUAUACAGUCUAGCAUUAUCAUAGUUAGUGCAAGCAUACUUAGCAAUCAUUAUGAGACAAGUCUACACCCAUGCAUAGUGAUAUUAGCAAGGUAAAUGAGAAACAUAGCAAUCACUCCCCUGUAAUAAUGUUGCUCUGCCAGCCCAAUACACGAGAGGGGGACUAUAUCAGAAUCAAUGAAGUUGUCACUAUCACGAACUACCCCGCGAUCUAGCAUAUUGGGUACAAUCGCAGAUAAAUACGGUAUAAGCACCAUGCCUACACAAUAUCUAUCAUUUACCCAUGGAUCCGAUGGAUAAACGCUAUACGAUCCUAAACAUGUAUAUAGAUCCAAUCUAACUAAGCCAAGUAUAUAACUAUGAUAAACUAAGAACAAUAUAAUCUUGAAUAUAAACAAGUAGAGCAAAGUCAUAAUCAAUAUAUUGAAGUAGAACAAAGUCAUAUUCUUUAUAUUGAAGAACAAAUAUAAUUAGAAGAACAAUUAGAAGCACAAUUAGAGAAUUACCAAGAAUCCUCUUGACAAAUGCGGAAACCAAUCGAAGAUUGACUCCUUCUAGUUCUAAUCCUAUGUAGCUAUGCUAAUCUAGAUGUCUAAUUGAUGUGGUGGCUCUAGGCUUGAUCAGAGGCUUCCUCUUCCUUGAGGAAUAAUGAAUUAGGGUUGAGAGGCUAUCUCCUCCAGGGGCCAAGGGGUCUGCUUUUAUAGUCCCUUCAAGUGAAUAUGGGCCGUUGGAUCAAACUGACAUUGAUUGAACGGUUAUCCUGGAUCCUUUAGGUCGGUGGAGAUUAGUCCCGAAAGAGAGUCGUGAUCCAACUCAGAGAGGGGGCGGGCGCCCAGGUCAACUGGGCGGGCGCCCAGUGCCUGGCCCCGUUCGGCCUCCGCUUCCUUUCCGUGGCUUCUGGAGUCUUCUAGAUGUAAGAUAAUUGCGCAGCACGUUGAUAUCUCUAUGUAACCCCGAUGUGUGGGCCUUUCUUCCGUAUUUCCUGAUAACCCCCUGCAGAAAUAGACAUACACCAAAACUCGUGGAAUUUUGUCAGAUAAAACCCUAAGUCUAGAUGUUGAUUUCAUUUGGAUCCUUUUCUUUGUUUAUUCGUUAAUUAAAUUUGAUACUUAAGGACCGUCAACAAACUCCCCCAAGCUUACCUCUUGCUAAUUCCUGAGCAAGGAUAGACUUAGUGAUAGAUCAGAAGUUGCUGCAAUAUCUUUAAAAAUUGACGGUGCACAUGAUUUUAAAUAAGAUCUCAUCUCUGAGUUAGAGUAAACUGUCAAAACUUAAAACUUAUUCAUUUUACGUUUCACCAUGGGACUUAUUACCGUCACUUCUAUCUUGAGUAGUUAAAAGAUAGAACAGUCUAGUCAAGUGCUAUGUCUCUUAUUCUUGAUCAGCUAGAGCUCUGGAGUUUUUGCAGAUUUUCAAAUAAAACUCAGAGAUUCCUUGUAUGACUCUCUAAAUCUCUCUUUUGUAGUAUUUCUGGAUCCUUACCAAGGCAGUGAUGGUAUAUGCCUUCUCUCAAGAUAUGUGGUAUGGUAUAAGGCAUAGUGACAUAGCCUUCUCUCUCACCCUACUCUAAUAAGGCUUUUGAUAUCUGGAGCUCAUAGGUGGGAGAUAAAAUGUACAUACUCACAAGACAUGUGUGCAUAGUCAAACCAUGGAUCCAAAGAAACAAGCCAAUAAGUUUAAUCAAGAUGUGCAUGUGUGGCGAAUGAAUGGUGUAUGGUGAUGGUGAUGAUAACAAUGGUGAAAGUCUAAUUCUACUUUUGCUCUUUGAGGGGAUACAUACCUUCUUGCUUUUUGAAACUUUGUGAGGAGAAAGAGAUGCUCUAUCUUUUCUUUUUUUCUCUCCUUGGGUAUCUUGUACCCCUAAUUCUACUGUCGGACACUUGUCCAUUUUUACCUCUCGUCUCACUUGUUCUUUUCUUUCGAGGUUCUAGGCACUUGCCCCUUUUUAUUUCGUUGUAUUCUUUUUCUUUCUCUUUUUUUUAGAGCACUCAUCUCUUGAGAUAAUAUAGCAAGUGGUAGUAACAAGAUAACUUGAGCAGUUAUUUCAUAGGGAAAAACAGAAAUGUUUUUGGUUAUUCUCUCCCGGAUUAGGAGUAGAAUGUUUUUGGGUGGUUCUGGAGAUGGAAAUGGGUGGAUAUAUGUGGAUGGUACUUCCGGAGUAGAAGUAGCAUGUGUGAGCAAGUGGCCAAGCAGAGACUUCCAACAAGCAAAUCAAGAAUAUUCUUUAGAAGACAGUAAAUGAAAUGGGAACGGCAUGGAAAGACAAGUUACCCGAUGCACUCUGGGCAUACGGGACAACAUACAAGACUCCAAUUGGAAUGUCCCCAUACCAAUUGGUGUAUGGGAAGACUUGCCACCUACCUGUUGAACUAGAGUUCAAAGCACACUGGGCCAUAAGGAGAUGGAAUUUGGACCUAGAUGUCGCUGGAAAACAUAGGAGAAUGCAACUAUCAGAAUUGGAAGAAUGGCAAGAGAAAGCAUAUCACAAUUCGAAGAUCUACAAAGAAAGAGUCAAAAGGUGGCAUGACAAGAGGAUCAAGAAGGAGUUCGCACCCGG